Molecule: unclassified non-coding RNA, 329 nt
Filed under: uncultured Pseudoalteromonas sp.
Lineage: Bacteria; Pseudomonadati; Pseudomonadota; Gammaproteobacteria; Alteromonadales; Pseudoalteromonadaceae
Description: partial 16S-23S ribosomal RNA intergenic spacer
Source: RNAcentral
CCUCCUUAUACGAUUUAGAACUUAUUUGUUCGUAGUGUCCACACAGAUGAUUGUUAGUUAGUAAUGCUCUUUGAGUUUACUAAUUAAUAUGCUCUUUAAAAAUUUGGAAAAGCUGAUAAUAAAAUUCGUAUGAAUAACAGUGUUAUUUGUACAGAGUUUUCAAAAGUAAAAAAGAAUGAUAGCAGUAUCAUUCAGUGCCAAUUUAAUCAUUUAUGAUUAAUUGGUAUCUACUUUAGUAUUCAAUAUUAACUUCUGGCGAAGUUAAACUGUCACUAACAAAGACCCGUUUGGGUUGUAUGGUUAAGUGACUAAGCGUACACGGUGGAUGC